UACGUAGGGUGCGAGCGUUGUCCGGAAUUACUGGGCGUAAAGAGCUCGUAGGUGGUUUGUCACGUCGUCUGUGAAAUACCGUGGCUUAACUGCGGGGGUGCAUCUGAAACUGUUUCUCUUGAGUGUCGGAGAGGAAAGUGGAAUUCCCAGUGUAGCGGUGAAAUGCGUAGAGAUUGGGAGGAACACCAGUGGCGAAGGCGGCUUUCUGGACGAUAACUGACGCUGAGGCGCGAAAGCGUGGGUAGCAAACAGGAUUAGAUACCCGCGUAGUCCCU
RNAcentral lists this ribosomal RNA (275 nucleotides) under uncultured prokaryote. RNAcentral describes it as "partial 16S ribosomal RNA". It matches the Rfam family "Bacterial small subunit ribosomal RNA", at positions 524 to 798 of the family's 1533-position model. The record is from RNAcentral.